AAACGACUCUCGGCAACGGAUAUCUCGGCUCACGCAUCGAUGAAGAACGUAGCAAAAUGCGAUACUUGGUGUGAAUUGCAGAAUCCCGUGAACCAUCGAGUUUUUGAACGCAAGUUGCGCCCGAAGCCAUUCGGCCGAGGGCACGCCUGCCUGGGCGUCACG
RNAcentral lists this ribosomal RNA (162 nucleotides) under Felicia uliginosa. RNAcentral describes it as "5.8S ribosomal RNA". It matches the Rfam family "5.8S ribosomal RNA". Rfam says of the family: 5.8S ribosomal RNA (5.8S rRNA) is a component of the large subunit of the eukaryotic ribosome. It is transcribed by RNA polymerase I as part of the 45S precursor that also contains 18S and 28S rRNA. Functionally, it is thought that 5.8S rRNA may be involved in ribosome translocation. The record is from RNAcentral. Lineage: Eukaryota; Viridiplantae; Streptophyta; Magnoliopsida; Asterales; Asteraceae. RNAcentral also lists the same sequence under 6 other names.